ACCCACUGAAUUUAAGCAUAUAAGUAGGUGGAGGAGGUGACACAAACUGAGACUCCAGAAGUAGUUGCGAAUGAAUGUGGAGCUGCUCAGCUUGAAAUCUGUUAGGCACCUGCCACUGACAUGAAACUUCUGAGUGUGUUGUCAAUGGAGGUGCAUGUGUUAGCCACUUUGGAAAGGGGGAGGUAGGUAUAUACAAGGGUGAGAAUCCAUCUUGUCACUUGCUUUGCCUCUGUGUACUGCACAGGUAUUCCAGAAUCAUGCUCUUUGGAAGUGGAGUGUAAAGGGGGUGGUAGAUUUCAUCCAAAGGUGACCACAAUGCUGAGACCGACAGUGAAGAAGUACCAUGAGGGAAGUGUGAAAAGGACUUUGGAAAGA
Molecule: ribosomal RNA, 375 nt
Filed under: Gambierdiscus silvae
Lineage: Eukaryota; Dinophyceae; Gonyaulacales; Pyrocystaceae
Description: LSU rRNA
Rfam family: Eukaryotic large subunit ribosomal RNA
Source: RNAcentral